GUGAACAUAAGUUUUUAUGACUCAAUUAAAUACAUAUAACCAUGGAACUGUUUGUAUGAAUGCAAUGCACAAUGUUAAAUCAAAGGAGUGAUACAGAGUUAAUUAAACAGAGGGAAGUAUUUUCAUACAAUCAUACUCAUUUUAAGUAUCAAUACAUCAAGGCACCAAUUAUAUUAUUUAAUUGUAAUAAACAAAAUAGGCUAACCAGCCACAGGUCCACAGUGGCACAUCAAGCAUUCUAGAUAUUUGAAUAUUAUAAAAACUAUCUAUUAAAUACUAAAUAGUAUGUAGUAUAAAUCUAGAUCCUCUAAACCUCUGUCAGUGGCCUUCUUGCGAAGUCUCUCGAUACCAUUUCUUGACCGUAUAAAAUCCAUAAAAAUGCUUAGUUUAUAUACACCGCAUAUAUAUUUAAUCUGUAACUUUUAGCACAAGAAAAUAAAUCUUUUUCAAUUGAUUUCAAUGUAAAAAGUAUCAAAUUUUCGACAAAUUCUACAAUUUUAUUUCUAAUUGAAACUAAUGACGCCCGCGCGAAUUCAGUGUUGCGGUUUGAGCAUGAGCAUGCGCACAACUAACCGGAUAUCCAAAAUUGGAUAUCCGGUAUUCCGUUUCUCCAGAGUCAUGCCCAGC
Paramuricea clavata is the source of this 627-nucleotide non-coding RNA. Lineage: Eukaryota; Metazoa; Cnidaria; Anthozoa; Malacalcyonacea; Plexauridae. The record is from the annotation of a GenBank genome assembly.